RNAcentral lists this non-coding RNA (92 nucleotides) under Rhodomonas lens. The record is from RNAcentral. Lineage: Eukaryota; Cryptophyceae; Pyrenomonadales; Pyrenomonadaceae.
AGUAUUCAAGGUCAAUUAAUUUUUUUUUUUCUUUUUUUUUUAUCGGUUUUCUCAAUUUGGAAUAGCCGAUAAAAAAAAAAGAAAAAAUUGGA